Molecule: ribosomal RNA, 460 nt
Filed under: uncultured bacterium
Lineage: Bacteria
Description: partial 16S ribosomal RNA
Rfam family: Bacterial small subunit ribosomal RNA
Source: RNAcentral
CCUACGGGAGGCAGCAGUGAGGAAUAUUGGUCAAUGGACGAGAGUCUGAACCAGCCAAGUAGCGUGAAGGAUGACUGCCCUAUGGGUUGUAAACUUCUUUUAUAUGGGAAUAAAACGUUCCACGUGUGGGAUUUUGUAUGUACCAUAUGAAUAAGGAUCGGCUAACUCCGUGCCAGCAGCCGCGGUAAUACGGAGGAUCCGAGCGUUAUCCGGAUUUAUUGGGUUUAAAGGGAGCGUAGGUGGAUUGUUAAGUCAGUUGUGAAAGUUUGCGGCUCAACCGUAAAAUUGCAGUUGAAACUGGCAGUCUUGAGUACAGUAGAGGUGGGCGGAAUUCGUUGUGUAGCGGUGAAAUGCUUAGAUAUCACGAAGAACUCCGAUUGCGAAGGCAGUUCACUGGACUGCAACUGACACUGAGGCUCGAAAGUGUGGGUAUCAAACAGGAUUAGAUACCCGUGUAGUC